CCGACCUCAGAUCAGGCGGGACGACCCGCUGAGUUUAA
This 38-nucleotide ribosomal RNA is filed under the name Cyathodium cavernarum. RNAcentral describes it as "partial 26S ribosomal RNA". Lineage: Eukaryota; Viridiplantae; Streptophyta; Marchantiopsida; Marchantiales; Cyathodiaceae. The record is from RNAcentral.